UACGGAGGGUGCAAGCGUUAAUCGGAAUUACUGGGCGUAAAGCGCACGCAGGCGGUCAGUUAAGUCAGAUGUGAAAUCCCCGGGCUCAACCUGGGAAUUGCAUUUGAAACUGGCAAGCUAGAGUCUUGUAGAGGGGGGUAGAAUUCCAUGUGUAGCGGUGAAAUGCAUAGAGAUCUGGAGGAAUACCGGUGGCGAAGGCGGCCCCCUGGACAAAGACUGACGCUCAGGUGCGAAAGCGUGGGGAGCAAACAGG
RNAcentral lists this ribosomal RNA (253 nucleotides) under uncultured bacterium. RNAcentral describes it as "partial 16S ribosomal RNA". It matches the Rfam family "Bacterial small subunit ribosomal RNA", at positions 524 to 776 of the family's 1533-position model. The record is from RNAcentral.